AUGAACGCUGGCGGUCUGCUUCACCCCUGCCAGUCGAACGGACUCUUCGGAGUUAGUGGCGGACGGGUGAGUCACGCGUGAGAAUCUGGCUUUGGGUUCGGGACAACCACUGGAAACGGUGGCUAAUACCGGAUGUGCCGAGAGGUAAAAGAGAAAUUGCCUGAAGAUGAGCUCGCGUCUGAUUAGCUAGUUGGUGAGGUAAAGGCUCACCGAGGCAGCGAUCAGUAGCUGGUCUGAGAGGAUGACCAGCCACACUGGGACUGAGACACGGCCCAGACUCCUACGGGAGGCAGCAGUGGGGAAUUUUCCGCAAUGGGCGAAAGCCUGACGGAGCAAUACCGCGUGAGGGAAGAAGGCUCUUGGGUUGUAAACCUCUUUUCUUAGGGAAGAACAAAAUGACGGUACCUAAGGAAUCAGCAUCGGCUAACUCCGUG
This 434-nucleotide ribosomal RNA is filed under the name uncultured bacterium. Its description in RNAcentral is "partial 16S ribosomal RNA". It matches the Rfam family "Bacterial small subunit ribosomal RNA", at positions 29 to 507 of the family's 1533-position model. The record is from RNAcentral.